Molecule: transfer RNA, 72 nt
Filed under: Operophtera brumata (winter moth)
Lineage: Eukaryota; Metazoa; Arthropoda; Insecta; Lepidoptera; Geometridae
Rfam family: tRNA
About the family: Transfer RNA (tRNA) molecules are approximately 80 nucleotides in length.
Source: Rfam by way of RNAcentral
CGUUCUAUGGCUAAAUUGGUAAAGGCAUCGCCGAUCACAGGCAAGGAUGCGGGUUCGAGUCCGCUAGAUCGG